AUACGGAGGAUCCGAGCGUUAUCCGGAUUUAUUGGGUUUAAAGGGUGCGUCGGCGGCCUUUUAAGUCAGCGGUGAAAGUCUGUGGCUCAACCAUAGAAUUGCCGUUGAAACUGGGGGGCUUGAGUAUGUUUGGGGCAGGCGGAAUGCGUGGUGUAGCGGUGAAAUGCUUAGAUAUCACGCAGAACCCCGAUCGCGAAGGCAGCCUGCCAAGCCAUGACUGACGCUGAUGCACGAAAGCGUGGGGAUCGAACAGGAUUAGAUACCCUGGUAGUCCACGCAGUAAACGAUGAUCACUAGCUGUUUGCGAUACACAGUAAGCGGCACAGCGAAAGCGUUAAGUGAUCCACCUGGGGAGUACGCCGGCAACGGUGAAACUCAAAGGAAUUGGCGGGG
This 393-nucleotide ribosomal RNA is filed under the name uncultured bacterium. Its description in RNAcentral is "partial 16S ribosomal RNA". It matches the Rfam family "Bacterial small subunit ribosomal RNA", at positions 523 to 918 of the family's 1533-position model. The record is from RNAcentral.